This is a long non-coding RNA of Oreochromis aureus, 305 nucleotides long. RefSeq lists it as uncharacterized. The record is from RefSeq and is a predicted model, not a curated record. Lineage: Eukaryota; Metazoa; Chordata; Actinopteri; Cichliformes; Cichlidae. The transcript has 3 exons.
CUCUUUAGUUCUGAUCUCACUGCUGAGCUGCACAAUGAGCCAAGGGAGCAACACCACCAACACACCUCCACCUACAUCCACAUCUCUACCUACAUUCUCCUCUCCUCCACACAUUGCAUUGUUAUUUUUAUAUUCAGCUACAGUUAUGGUUCUACUGGUGUUGCUGGUUCUGCUGGUGAGAAGAUAUAUUUGUAGGAAACCUAAAGGUCAGGACAAAGCUGCAGAAGAUGAUGUUACUGAUGACAUCAUAUAUAGCGUCAUCACAAUACAGCACCAUCAAGAACAGCCAAUCGACGGAAGCAGAG